UUGAAAACUACAUAACUAGAAUGCAAGAGAGGUAAAUGGAAUUCCAUGUGUAGCGGUAAAAUGCGUAGAUAUAUGGAAGAACACCUGUGGCGAAAGCGGUUUACCAGCUUGUUAUUGACGCUGAGGCACGAAAGCGUGGGGAGCAAAUAGGAUUAGAUACCCUAGUAGUCCACGCCGUAAACGUUGAGUACUAGGUGUCGGGAAUUAUCUCGGCGCCGCAGCUAACGCAUUAAGUACUCCGCCUGAGUAGUAUGCACGCAAGUGUGAAACUCAAAGGAAUUGACGGGGACCCGCACAAGUGGUGGAGCAUGUGGUUUAAUUCGAAGCAACACGAAGAACCUUACCAGGGCUUGACAUCCAGUGCAAAGGCAUAGAGAUAUGCUGGAGGCUAACAUUGAGACAGGUGGUGCAUGGUUGUCGUCAGUUCGUGCCGUGAGGUGUUUGGUUAAGUCCAGCAACGAACGCAACCCUUGUCAUUAGUUACUAACAUUAAGUUGAGGACUCUAAUGAGACUGCUAGUGUAAGCUAGAGGAAGGUGGGGAUGACGUCAAAUCAUCAUGCCCCUUAUGUCCUGGGCUACACACGUGCUACAAUGGCUGAUACAAAGAGUCGCAAUCUCGUAAGGAGGAGCUAAUCUCAUAAAGUCAGUCUCAGUUCGGAUUGAGGGCUGCAACUCGCCCUCAUGAAGCCGGAAUCACUAGUAAUCGCGAAUCAGACAUGUCGCGGUGAAUACGUUCUCGGGUCUUGUACACACCGCCCGUCACACCACGAGAGUUGGUAACACCAGAAGUAGGNAGCCUAACCGUAAGGAGGGCGCCUCCCAAGGUGGGAUCAGCGAUUGGGGUG
This 846-nucleotide ribosomal RNA is filed under the name uncultured Mesoplasma sp. RNAcentral's name for it is "bacterial SSU rRNA". It matches the Rfam family "Bacterial small subunit ribosomal RNA", at positions 626 to 1482 of the family's 1533-position model. Lineage: Bacteria; Bacillati; Mycoplasmatota; Mollicutes; Entomoplasmatales; Entomoplasmataceae. The record is from RNAcentral.